RNAcentral lists this ribosomal RNA (253 nucleotides) under uncultured bacterium. RNAcentral's name for it is "partial 16S ribosomal RNA". It matches the Rfam family "Bacterial small subunit ribosomal RNA", at positions 524 to 776 of the family's 1533-position model. The record is from RNAcentral.
UACGUAGGGGGCAAGCGUUGUCCGGAAUCAUUGGGCGUAAAGAGCGUGUAGGCGGCUCGAUAAGUCUGCUGUGAAAGUCCAGGGCUCAACCCUGGAAGGCCGGUGGAAACUGUCGGGCUAGAGUCCGGAAGAGGCGAGUGGAAUUCCCGGUGUAGCGGUGAAAUGCGCAGAUAUCGGGAGGAAUACCUAUGGCGAAAGCAGGCUACUGGACCGAUACUGACGCUGAGGAGCGAAAGCCAGGGGAGCAAACGGG